GCGGGUAUGGUUCAAUGGUAGAACAUCUGGUUGCCAAUCAGAUGAUGGGAGUUCGAUUCUCCCUACCCGCACAA
RNAcentral lists this transfer RNA (74 nucleotides) under Candidatus Yonathbacteria bacterium RIFCSPHIGHO2_01_FULL_51_10. RNAcentral's name for it is "tRNA-Gly". It matches the Rfam family "tRNA". From Rfam's summary of the family: Transfer RNA (tRNA) molecules are approximately 80 nucleotides in length. Lineage: Bacteria; Candidatus Yonathiibacteriota. The record is from RNAcentral.